RNAcentral lists this ribosomal RNA (128 nucleotides) under Prolemur simus (greater bamboo lemur). Lineage: Eukaryota; Metazoa; Chordata; Mammalia; Primates; Lemuridae. The record is from RNAcentral.
GUCUACGGCCAUACCACCCUGAACGCACCCGAUCUUGUCUGAUCUCAGAAACCAAGUAGGGUUGGGCCUGGUGAGCACUCGGGUGGGAGGGGUGUGUAUUUAUGGAGACACUUCGGACUCUGCUGGCA